Small nucleolar RNA from Entelurus aequoreus (snake pipefish), 122 nucleotides. RefSeq annotates it as small nucleolar RNA SNORA26. The transcript has a single exon. The record is from RefSeq and is a predicted model, not a curated record. NCBI's taxonomy places the organism in Eukaryota, Metazoa, Chordata, Actinopteri, Syngnathiformes, Syngnathidae.
UUGCCCACUUGAGACUGUCUGUGUUUUGAGUGGCCAUUAUGGAAGGGUAAAGCAAUGUUCUCUCUAAAGACCUGGGUCAGGGGUUUAACCCCCUGCCUCUGGACUUGUUGGGAGAAACAUCU